UGCAGUGAUGAGACCCUGGA
This 20-nucleotide microRNA is filed under the name Bos taurus (domestic cattle). RNAcentral describes it as "bta-miR-2440". Lineage: Eukaryota; Metazoa; Chordata; Mammalia; Artiodactyla; Bovidae. The record is from miRBase by way of RNAcentral.